RNAcentral lists this RNase P RNA (340 nucleotides) under Tissierellia bacterium. Its description in RNAcentral is "RNase P RNA component class A". It matches the Rfam family "Bacterial RNase P class A". Rfam says of the family: Ribonuclease P (RNase P) is a ubiquitous endoribonuclease, found in archaea, bacteria and eukarya as well as chloroplasts and mitochondria. The record is from RNAcentral. Lineage: Bacteria; Bacillati; Bacillota; Tissierellia.
GCAGUAAACCGGUCGAUUGCAUGAGAAAUCAUGAGGAAAGUCCGCGCACCAUAGAGCAGGAUGCUGGAUAACGUCCAGUGAGGGCGACCUUAAGGCUAGUGCAACAGAGAUAUACCGCCUGUCGUAAGAUAGGUAAGGGUGGAAAGGCGGGGUAAGAGCCCACCGGCAGCUAGGAGACUAGGUGGCCAUGUAAACCCCAUCCGGUGCAAGACCAAAAGCGGGAAAAGGGGCAGUUGCUCGUUGCCCUCCGAAAAGGUAGGUUGCUUGAGCUAUUGGGUAACCAAUAGCCUAGAUAGAUAAUCGACGAUAACAGGACGCGGCUUAUAGGUUUAGUGCAUAU